This 21-nucleotide non-coding RNA is filed under the name Arabidopsis thaliana (thale cress). The record is from RNAcentral. Lineage: Eukaryota; Viridiplantae; Streptophyta; Magnoliopsida; Brassicales; Brassicaceae.
UAGGGAAGAAUUGGUUUCAUA